CAGCUUAAUUCAGCAUCUCAAUUGCACUGUUAAGAGAAACCUUUGCAGCGCCUCCCCUGCAGCUAGCAAGAGGCAAACCAAGGCUUACUGUGUUCUAACAAAAAACAGGGAAAGAGCAGGCACUGCUUGGGAACAAGAUGAGUAAAAUAAUCCAACUCUGUCUAGGACUCGUCAUACUGGCCUUCAUCUUACCCGACCAGGUGCACAGUCAGACCUCUGCAAAGCCCAGUCUUACCAAUUCAACAACUGCGCACAGUAAUUCCACAUCUGUGUCAAGUGCCAGCAGUGGAUCACAAACUUUAACAACUUCGACAAACGCAACUACGCCACGUGGAAGUGCAGAUUCUUUAUAUGGAUCGUCUAUCAUGUUCUUUAGUCUCAUCUCAGUCUCUGUUCUACAGCUCUGCUCUUAAAAGACCAUGGCCUAAAUUCAAAUACUGCACUGUCCUCCCACCACCACCUCUCCUCCCAUCUGGUCAGGCAUCACAAACAUUUAUGGAAGAAUAUACACAACUCCAAAACCAAAUCAGACUAUUCCCCAUUGCUCUACUCACGCAACCCUGAUGGAGAGACUGAUAAAACUGAAGCUUCCAAGCUGAAUGAUGUGACAAGGUUCUCAACGAAAUCAGGAAAACGAAGGGCAGCAUCAGUGUCAAGUCCAUUAAAAUCUAAUUUGCCUAAGUGAAAGCAACCGAGAUACGAUCUAUCUUUAAACUCAAACAGGUCUUAAGAGGCAUAGCUGGUGAUCUAGACUAUGCAGUUGUCGUCUAGAAGAUGGCGGCCAAACUCAUCCUUGAAGGAAAGAAAGGAUUGUUGAAUUUUGCCCAUAUUCAAUCCCUAUAAGCAUCCGUGUUUAUAUAAGACAAAUACAUAUUAGUGUAAGUUAGUGCUUUUAUCUAAAUAAAAUCUUAAGAGAAAUGAUUUUUUUCAUUUUUUCCCCAGUAGGAUUUUCAACAUAUAUUUGAAUGUCUCAGGGUUUAAACCAUUUUCCAAACAGCAAGACAAAUGUACCCUUUAGAACUUAAACAGAUUCAUUGAAUAUUUCUUUUAAAGUGCAUUUCAGAUAUUUUAUCUUAAUUAAAAGAUGCCGUUUUAAUGCUGGACCCAUGAUUACCCAGACAGUUGUAAGUUUCACAAAUUUAUUAUCAUUAAAGAUCUGUGUAGAUUGUUAGUUCUAAGCCCUCCCAGUUACGAUGAAAUGUAUCAAAUAAAAGUGUUGUCCAGAUUUCUUCACUUAUACUAAAGCAAUUUAAUUGACAAAAUGGGAGCAUAUUGAAUGCACUAGAUUGAAAACAAAUCAUAAAUCAAUGCACAAUGUUAUGAAAAACAUCAUUUCUCUGGAGUAAUUUUUUUUCCAGAAAAUUAGGUUAGAGAUCUUAUGUGUGUGUGUGCUCAUUUUGUCACAUUUUGAUUACCAAUAUUUUUACAUACAUUAAACAAUAUUAACUUACA
Spea bombifrons (plains spadefoot toad) is the source of this 1452-nucleotide long non-coding RNA. RefSeq lists it as uncharacterized. The record is from RefSeq and is a predicted model, not a curated record. The transcript has 2 exons. Lineage: Eukaryota; Metazoa; Chordata; Amphibia; Anura; Pelobatidae.